UACAGAGGUGCCAAGCGUUAGGCGGAAUCACUGGGCUUAAAGCGCGUGUAGGUGGACGGGUAAGUAUCUUGUGAAAUCCCACAGCUCAACUGUGGAACUGCUGGAUAUACUGCUUGUCUUGAGGCAUUCAGGGGCAACCGGAACAAAUGGUGGAGCGGUGAAAUGCGUAGAUAUCAUUUGGAACGCCUAUGGUGAAAACAGGUUGCUGGGGAUGUUCUGACACUGAGACGCGAAAGCCAGGGGAGCAAACGGG
This 253-nucleotide ribosomal RNA is filed under the name Tepidisphaera sp. RNAcentral's name for it is "partial 16S ribosomal RNA". It matches the Rfam family "Bacterial small subunit ribosomal RNA", at positions 524 to 776 of the family's 1533-position model. RNAcentral also lists the same sequence under 1 other name. The record is from RNAcentral. Lineage: Bacteria; Pseudomonadati; Planctomycetota; Phycisphaerae; Tepidisphaerales; Tepidisphaeraceae.